Non-coding RNA from Ameiurus melas (black bullhead), 79 nucleotides. Lineage: Eukaryota; Metazoa; Chordata; Actinopteri; Siluriformes; Ictaluridae. The record is from the annotation of a GenBank genome assembly.
AACUUAGUGGCUUAGCGGUUAGCGCGUUCGCCUCACACCUCCAGCGGGAACCUCGGGGGUUCGAUUCCCACCGUGGCCC